Molecule: ribosomal RNA, 253 nt
Filed under: uncultured bacterium
Lineage: Bacteria
Description: partial 16S ribosomal RNA
Rfam family: Bacterial small subunit ribosomal RNA
Source: RNAcentral
UACGAAGGGGGCUAGCGUUGCUCGGAAUUACUGGGCGUAAAGGGCGCGUAGGCGGAUAUUUAAGUUGGGGGUGAAAUCCCGGGGCUCAACCUCGGAAUUGCCUUCAAAACUGGAUAUCUUGAGUUCGGGAGAGGUGAGUGGAACUCCGAGUGUAGAGGUGAAAUUCGUAGAUAUUCGGAAGAACACCAGUGGCGAAGGCAGCUCUCUGGGACGGUACUGACGCUGAGACGCGAAAGCGUGGGGAGCGAACAGG